GCCCCGUUAGCUCAGCUGGUAGAGCAGGAAGCUCUUAACUUCAAGGUCGUGGGUUCGAGUCCCUCACGGGGCA
Molecule: transfer RNA, 73 nt
Filed under: Candidatus Pacearchaeota archaeon
Lineage: Archaea; Nanobdellati
Also listed under: 1 other name
Description: tRNA-Lys
Rfam family: tRNA
About the family: Transfer RNA (tRNA) molecules are approximately 80 nucleotides in length.
Source: RNAcentral